AGCGGCGGAUGGGUGAGUAACACGUGGGGAACCUGCCCCUAAGUCUGGGAUACCAUUUGGAAACAGGUGCUAAUACCGGAUAAUAAAGCAGAUCGCAUGAUCAGCUUUUGAAAGGCGGCGUAAGCUGUCGCUAAGGGAUGGCCCCGCGGUGCAUUAGCUAGUUGGUAAGGUAACGGCUUACCAAGGCGACGAUGCAUAGCCGAGUUGAGAGACUGAUCGGCCACAUUGGGACUGAGACACGGCCCAAACUCCUACGGGAGGCAGCAGUAGGGAAUCUUCCACAAUGGACGCAAGUCUGAUGGAGCAACGCCGCGUGAGUGAAGAAGGUUUUCGGAUCGUAAAGCUCUGUUGUUGGUGAAGAAGGAUAGAGGUAGUAACUGGCCUUUAUUUGACGGUAAUCAACCAGAAAGUCACGGCUAACUACGCGCCAGCAGCCGCGGUAAUACGUAGGUGGCAAGCGUUGUCCGGAUUUAUUGGGCGUAAAGCGAGCGCAGGCGGAAAAAUAAGUCUAAUGUGAAAGCCCUCGGCUUAACCGAGGAACUGCAUCGGAAACUGUUUUUCUUGAGUGCAGAAGAGGAGAGUGGAACUCCAUGUGUAGCGGUGGAAUGCGUAGAUAUAUGGAAGAACACCAGUGGCGAAAGGCGGCUCUCUGGUCUGCAACUGACGCUGAGGCUCGAAAGCAUGGGUAGCGAACAGGAUUAGAUACCCUGGUAGUCAUGCGUAACGAUGAGUGUUAAGUGU
This 741-nucleotide ribosomal RNA is filed under the name uncultured bacterium. RNAcentral describes it as "bacterial SSU rRNA". It matches the Rfam family "Bacterial small subunit ribosomal RNA", at positions 94 to 823 of the family's 1533-position model. The record is from RNAcentral.